AAUAUAUACAAAUUCUACAGAAUCUUACAAGGGUUCACAAUAACAAAGACGUAUGAUAUACAUUUCAGAUAUACAAGGAACGAUAUCGUGCCAAGAUUGCUAACCAGCCACACCCAAUUGUAGCACAACGUCCUUUUCCUUAGUAAGCUAAGCCUCCACUAAAUGCAUCCCCAUCGUUUAGCAAACUCUCAGUAAGCCAAUACCCAUCCCACGAGCCGCCAACCCUCUGAACCAUGGUGAAUUGAAAUAUUUCUUCUUCCUUGGGGCGACAACCUCGUAUCCAUACCCGCUGCUUGAAUCGGUUCUCCUCUACAAACAAACUGCUCAAAAUCUUUCUCUCUUUAUGGCCUAACAAUACACGAUAGGUUGAAUGGUGG
RNAcentral lists this unclassified non-coding RNA (377 nucleotides) under Hevea brasiliensis (rubber tree). The record is from RNAcentral. Lineage: Eukaryota; Viridiplantae; Streptophyta; Magnoliopsida; Malpighiales; Euphorbiaceae.